Molecule: ribosomal RNA, 432 nt
Filed under: uncultured bacterium
Lineage: Bacteria
Description: partial 16S ribosomal RNA
Rfam family: Bacterial small subunit ribosomal RNA
Source: RNAcentral
AGCGAACGCUGGCGGCAGGCCUAACACAUGCCAGUCGAACGAACCUUUCGGGGUUAGUGGCGGACGGGUGAGUAACACGUGGGAACGUGCCUUUAGGUUCGGAAUAACUCAGGGAAACUUGUGCUAAUACCGAAUGUGCCCUUCGGGGGAAAGAUUUAUCGCCUUUAGAGCGGCCCGCGUCUGAUUAGCUAGUUGGUUGAGGUAAUGGCUCACCAAGGCGACGAUCAGUAGCUGGUCUGAGAGGAUGAUCAGCCACAUUGGGACUGAGACACGGCCCAAACUCCUACGGGAGGCAGCAGUGGGGAAUCUUGCGCAAUGGGCGAAAGCCUGACGCAGCCAUGCCGCGUGAAUGAUGAAGGUCUUAGGAUUGUAAAAUUCUUUCACCGGGGACGAUAAUGACGGUACCCGGAGAAGAAGCCCCGGCUAACUUCG